UAAGGAUCUUCGUGGGCUGGUCUCUUUCUUUUCCUGCGGAGAUUCGGAGCUGAUUGGAACUAUGGAUAUAAACUCUGUAGUGAUAUUCUGGAAGUUGUGCAGAAAAACUAAGUCCUUCAUGAAAACAGCAGCUCUAGAAGAGUAUAUGAUGUACAAUUGUGGAUGUUCCUGAAUAUUCGAGACACAAUGUGACUCUCUAGCAAAUAUCCAGCGAAUAAUGAAUAACUGACAACACAGUUGAGAGCUACAUCUGCUUGCAACUCUGGUACUAAUACAGACAUCUCUGAAGGCCGACAGCAUUAGAAGUGAGGAGGGGGGAAUUUUUGUAUCCCCUGACAAGUAUGGAUGGUAUCACUGGAAGAAAGUAUGACACCUGAAGAUACUCAGAUACCAAGUAAAGACUCCACUCUAAUGAAAUCAAAUCUGUCUUGUAUCAUGGAAACUGCAUGUGGAAUCCAUAAGAAAUGAUGCAGAUUUACUAGAUGAAUCAGUUUAACAUCUGGUGGAAGUAAUGCCUAGAAACAGAAGAUUAAGAAAACAAAAUUCAAAUCCUUGCAUACAUUUCUGCCAUUCUCUAGGAAAAGCAUGCAAUUUUGUUAAAAUAGAGCGUAGAUAACUAUUUUACUCUAAUCAAACAUGCACAUAAACUUUAACUUUUAGUAACUUGUGGCUUUGUAAAGAAACUAUUUAAACAGUUGUUACCAGUCUGCUGUACCUUAAUGUGUACCUUUUUUAUCCUGUCUGCUUUGACUCUGACUCUUCCAUUUGGGGAAAUACUGUUAGCAUUCCUGAAACUUGCAUUAUUUGCCUCGCUUAAAGCAAAGAACAGAACAGACCUAAUCUUCCUCUGCACAUCAUUCAUAUUAGGUUAGGCACUAAAUUUAGUGGGCAAGAGUAAGUUAAUGAUUGGAAUAUACAUUUUUCAAGUGGAAUAAUAUAGCAGAUCACCUAGGUGAGAAGUUUAAUUGCAAAAAUCCUAUAACAGGACACUGCUUAGAUUCUUAGGAGGUGAAUGGAGGCCCUUCUGACAAAGUUUCUCAACUUUUCACAGUGAAAAGGAUAUUAAAGGCAAAAACUGUUCAGGUAUCCUUCAUAAGAAAAUAUAGAAUUCCAGAUAUGUAAAAGCUUAACCUGAAGUAUAAUUACUGAUCUAAUCACCUGGUCCAGCUUUUAAUAGGUAACAAGGCUCAGGGCCUAAAUUUCUAUGUAAUUUAUAAAGCAUAACAGUAUUCAGCAGCAGCCAGAUUCUGUCACCCUUCUGCACAUUGACUAGUGCCAUGCAUCAUGAAUGUGUGCUUUUUUUUUUUAACAGUGCCUGCCCCAGAAGGGCAUAUUGGCACUUGUUUCUAGAGGUGGCUUGAUAGAAACCUGCCUGGGAUGCCUGGUUCUUAAAGGAACCAUGACUGCAUUUCAGCCCCUGGGUGGCACAUUUUUUGGCUCAACUUCUUUGAGCCUGGAGUACUGGCACUUUUUCACUUACAAAUAUUCAGUACUUUUAAGUAUUGCUUUUUGUGUAAACAUUCCAGAGGAAGGUUCUUCUCAACCUGAGAAGA
Molecule: long non-coding RNA, 1553 nt
Organism: Pelodiscus sinensis (Chinese soft-shelled turtle)
Lineage: Eukaryota; Metazoa; Chordata; Testudines; Trionychidae
Source: RefSeq, a predicted model, not a curated record